This 253-nucleotide ribosomal RNA is filed under the name uncultured bacterium. Its description in RNAcentral is "partial 16S ribosomal RNA". It matches the Rfam family "Bacterial small subunit ribosomal RNA", at positions 524 to 776 of the family's 1533-position model. The record is from RNAcentral.
UACAGAGGUGGCAAGCGUUGUUCGGAAUUACUGGGCGUAAAGGGCGCGUAGGCGGCCUCUUUAGUCAGACGUGAAAUCCCCCGGCUUAACCUGGGAACUGCGUCUGAUACUGGGAGGCUAGAGUUCGGGAGAGGGAUGUAGAAUUCCAGGUGUAGCGGUGAAAUGCGUAGAUAUCUGGAGGAAUACCGGUGGCGAAGGCGGCAUCCUGGACCGAAACUGACGCUGAGGCGCGAAAGCUAGGGGAGCAAACGGG